AUUGAACGCUAGCGGGAUGCCUUACACAUGCAAGUAGAACGGAGUGGCGAACGGGUGAGUAAUGUAUCGGAACGUGCCCAGUAGCGGGGGAUCACUAAGCGAAAGCGUAGCUAAUACCGCAUACUAUUAGAGCGGCCGAUAUCGGAUUAGCUAGUUGGUGGGGUAACGGCUCUCCAAGGCGACGAUCCGUAGCUGGUUUGAGAGGACGACCAGCCACACGUGGACAGAGACACGGGCCAGACUCCUACGUGAGGCAGCAGUGGGGAAUUUUGGACAAUGGGGGAAACGCUGAUCCAGCCAACCCGCGUGUGAGAUGAAGGCCUUCGGGUUGUAAAGCACUUUUGGCAGGAAAGCGGUACCUGCAGAAUAAGCACCGGCGAAAUACGUGCCAGCAGCCGCGGUAAUA
Molecule: ribosomal RNA, 406 nt
Filed under: uncultured bacterium
Lineage: Bacteria
Description: partial 16S ribosomal RNA
Rfam family: Bacterial small subunit ribosomal RNA
Source: RNAcentral